GAAGCUGGAAUCGCUAGUAAUCGCAGGUCAGCAUACUGCGGUGAAUACGUUCCCGGGUCUUGUACACACCGCCCGUCACACCAUGGGAGCCGGAAAUGCCCGAAGCCAGUGACCCAACCUUAGGGAGGGAGCUGUCGAAGGUGGAGCCGGUAACUGGGGUGAAGUCGUAACAAGGUAGC
RNAcentral lists this ribosomal RNA (179 nucleotides) under uncultured bacterium. RNAcentral's name for it is "partial 16S ribosomal RNA". It matches the Rfam family "Bacterial small subunit ribosomal RNA", at positions 1322 to 1500 of the family's 1533-position model. The record is from RNAcentral.